GGAUAUGAGGGCGAUCUGGCUGUGAUAUCUAUCACCCCAGUGAAUGCCAGGGUUGAUUCGGCUGAUCUGGCUAGCUAUGUGGGUGUCUCCUUCCUCCCUCAUGGCUCCAUGUGGGUCACUUCCAAAGCUGCAUGCUUGGUCGAAAAGGACGACUGUCCCCCGAUAGAGGAGGACCGUUCUUUGGUCAAGGGUAUAGAGUAGCCGCACUCCCCCGCUAGAACCUCCAAACAAACUCUCAUUAAUGAGUCCUAAAUCAUUAAUUCUCUUUAUUCCUUAUAUACCAUUUCUAAUCUAUCAGAAAUUCUAUUGGU
This 311-nucleotide small nuclear RNA is filed under the name Castor canadensis (American beaver). RNAcentral's name for it is "7SK RNA (ENSCCNG00000010795.1)". It matches the Rfam family "7SK RNA". From Rfam's summary of the family: 7SK was discovered as an abundant small nuclear RNA in the mid-70s but a possible function has only recently been suggested. Lineage: Eukaryota; Metazoa; Chordata; Mammalia; Rodentia; Castoridae. The record is from Rfam by way of RNAcentral.